RNAcentral lists this microRNA (19 nucleotides) under Caenorhabditis elegans. RNAcentral describes it as "cel-miR-252-3p". Its record names the gene cel-miR-252-3p. Lineage: Eukaryota; Metazoa; Nematoda; Chromadorea; Rhabditida; Rhabditidae. The record is from miRBase by way of RNAcentral.
CUUACCUACUGCCUUCUGC